Molecule: long non-coding RNA, 864 nt
Filed under: Cotesia glomerata
Lineage: Eukaryota; Metazoa; Arthropoda; Insecta; Hymenoptera; Braconidae
Description: uncharacterized LOC123271000
Source: RNAcentral
GUCAAUGAGCGUGUUCAGCCGAACUAAGUCCUGAGUAAACUUAGUUAGCCUAAGUAUAGUCAAAGCAUUCCUUGCUAUACAUAUAUCUAUCUACUAUACUAUACAUAUCUUACUAAGUUUACUCAGGACUGAGUUCUGCUGAAGACGCUCAAGGUGUAACCUCAUGCUGACGCUUGACGCUGGUUAUGAGCGUCAAAUUGGGUCACGUGGUUAAUUUAGGCCGUGCUGCCACCUGGAAAAAACUUAGUAGCGUCAAAUCGUAAAAAGCUAAACUCGGUUUAGCUUUUUAUGCUGAGGGUGGAGCGUCAAUUUACAAAUAAUAUAAUCGAACUCGAAAAUAAUCGAUUUUGACAAAGUUGCUCAAAUUGUACAGCUGUCAUUCGAAUAUAAUUUUCAAUUUUUUCAGAGUAUGAAGAAAGAGUUGGGAAGACGGCUUCGAAAAAUCCAUGCUCUCGUCGUAAUUUAAAUAAAGGAUGGAUCCAAAAUUUCUUUGGUGUAUAUUUUUUUUUAGAUCUCUGGAUAACUAUUUCAUUGCAUAAUAAAGCACAUAUGAUCCUUUUACGUCGAAUUUUUUUUUUUAUUUGCGCUUGACGAAUUAUUUUUUGACACUGAUAAAUCCACAAUUGAUAAUCAUAUUCAUCUGCCAUUGAAAUUUCGAUAAGUCACUUAAAUUUGAUGUUAAGAACUAGCUUCUAGGUAUAUCUCGAGAUAUCGACUUUCGAUAUUCAUACAUUUUUUUCGCCGCUGAUUUUUUUAAUUUGACGCUGGCAUUUGACGCUGGAUAUGUCUUUAUUUAUUUCAGCUAGGUGGAGCUAUAGUUUGACGCUCAAAGCUAGCGUCAAGCGUCAUCAUGAGGUUACAACU